GCUCCCGUGGUGUAGUCGGUUUAUCACCUCGUACUUAUAUGGAUUUCUGUCCUUAUGCCAUGCGAAGGUCGCGAGUUCGAGCCUCGCCGGGAGCA
Molecule: transfer RNA, 95 nt
Filed under: Batrachochytrium dendrobatidis
Lineage: Eukaryota; Fungi; Chytridiomycota; Chytridiomycetes; Rhizophydiales
Also listed under: 1 other name
Description: tRNA-Ile
Rfam family: tRNA
About the family: Transfer RNA (tRNA) molecules are approximately 80 nucleotides in length.
Source: RNAcentral